Molecule: ribosomal RNA, 401 nt
Filed under: uncultured eukaryote
Lineage: Eukaryota
Description: SSU rRNA
Rfam family: Eukaryotic small subunit ribosomal RNA
Source: RNAcentral
CCAGCAGCCGCGGUAAUUCCAGCUCCAAUAGCGUAUAUUAAAGUUGUUGCAGUUAAAAAGCUCGUAGUCGGAUUUUGGCAUCACGCCGUACUGUCUGCCGAUUGGUAUGCACGGUUUGGCGGGUGCUUCCUUCCGGAGGCUCGUUCCCUCCUUAACUGAAGGGUUCGUUGGUUCCGGUUCUUUUACUUUGAGAAAAUUAGAGUGUUCAAAGCAGGCCUAUGCUCUGAAUAGGUUAGCAUGGAAUAAUAGAAUAGGACUUUGGUUCUAUUUUGUUGGUUUCUAGGACCGAAGUAAUGAUUAAUAGGGACAGUUGGGGGCAUUCAUAUUCCAUUGUCAGAGGUGAAAUUCUUGGAUUAACGGAAGAUGAACUUCUGCGAAAGCAUCUGCCAAGGAUGUUUUCA